This 5548-nucleotide long non-coding RNA is filed under the name Oryza brachyantha (malo sina). Its description in RNAcentral is "long non-coding RNA (OBRA_LNC001786)". The record is from RNAcentral. Lineage: Eukaryota; Viridiplantae; Streptophyta; Magnoliopsida; Poales; Poaceae.
AACGGUUCGAUGAGGGAGGAGAAAAUGUUAGAUUUUCACAUGAUGAAACACUGGAUCUCGAGGAAUUUAUUAAGACACACAAAAAAAUAAGGGACAAUGAAACGCACCAUCAGCUACGAGAAGACCUAGUAGAGCACUUGUGGCAACAUCAUCCAGAUGAUUAUUCAUGAAUCACAUUGUAUUAUAUAAAUUCAGUGUGACUCUGUUAAAAUUAUUUUUAUUUCAGCUAUCUUCUAAGGAACUAUUGUAAUCUAUAUUGGAUUCAACGUGUCUUGAUGCACCAGUAUUUCCUAAAGUUAUGGUUUCAUAACUUGACUGUUUCUAUAUAUUAAUCAAACAAAGAUAAUAUGAUUUUGUGAAAGCUAUAUAAGCUAUACAAUAAUGCAGAAGUUAUACUUAACUUUGUAGUUGAUGCCAACCAUAGUAGUACGUGUCAUAUAAUAAUCAGAACUCUGAGCAUAAUCAGUUCCCAACCAACAAUGGGCUGACAGCGUAUACAAGCAAAUUCUUGCGUACAUGCAUCUUAUUUAACAUGCAUGAAUCUGAGAAAAAGUGCCAGAAAUGUUGGAAUCACUAGUGUUGUUAGUAGGUUAUUAGGAUAAAAAUACCUGCGAUUAGCAACAUUCAAUAUCAAGACCAUAUACUGCUGGGAAUUAGCCUCGCGAUACUCUCUCUCUCCUGACUGGAUGCUCAACCGGAAGUACCAAACAGAAGCCAUAUUUGAUUAAAAGCAGAAAUAUGAUAGAACCGUUUCUAAAUGAAAAAAAAUGUCCAGCUUAGAAGUAAAAUAACACUACUUAACCGAAUGAAAUUCAUGACCACCCAGCACUGUCCUGGAUAGGAGGAUAUAACAAAAUAAAUACUACUAACACCAAACAAUGCUCUGUCGCCUCCUCUCAUUGAUAUUUUUAUAAAGCAUCCCUAAUCAAACAAAAUAGAAUGAUAAGUAACCAAAUAGCAUAAUAAAUAAUUCGAACAAAUAAUAAUCACUUACAAGGUCAAUCGGAGUUUUUCAUGCGACGAGCAGUUAUCUCAUUUUGAAGGCUCUUGUAAUACUGUUGUUGAAGUAGAGGCAUUGAAGUAAAAUCUACUGUCAUUAUCCUCUCUUCUUCUAACAUUCUCUUCAAUUGUACUUCAUCAGCCUCCUACGCAACCCUCGCCUGUUCAGCUUGAGCCCUAACUAGUUCACUUGCAACCCUUUUUUCUCUAGUUCAAGCCUAUCUAUGUCUAGUUUGUAAGACUGGUUAUACAUCUCUUCCUUCUUUUGCUCUUUUUCCACAUCUAACUCUUUUUUUUUUCUCCCACAAAUGUUCAAUAGCCUCUAAGCAUCCUUCACCCCCUCCUCUCCUCAGUUGCUCCUUUGCCCUUUUUUUCCCCAUUGGUCUCUUACUUACUUCAUUCUCUGUAGUUUCUAUUUCUCCUACAUCAUGGGAAGUCAUAUCGUUAUUAGUUCUAGUUCUAACUGGACAUGUAUUUGCGUUAGACUUCUGUUUUUUGUUUGCAUUAGCCUUUUCAUCAUCCAUAUGCUUCAUAUGAUCAUGCCACUUGGGUUGCGAACGCAACAAAGACCAGCAAUGAGAGAAUUGAAAUUGCCUUUUCCCAUCUGUAGCAGCAAACAAAGCCAUCGCCUGUGUAAUCUGAACAACUAAAGUCAGAAAAUUAUAGAAAACAUAUAAAAUUUAGAUAAAAGAGCCUACAUUAUUAUGAAUUACCUUGUCCUCAAUGGUACACCCACUUUGUCUUCUUCCCUCAAUUUGACUAACACACCCACAAAACUUGUUCANNNNNNNNNNNNNNNNNNNNNNNNNNNNNNNNNNNNNNNNNNNNNNNNNNNNNNNNNNNNNNNNNNNNNNNNNNNCGUUGCAAGACUUGGCAGUAGUGGCGGUGUAAGUGGUCGGGUAUGACCCGCCCGACCGACCAACCCACUGGCCCAAGUCUUGCGGGUAAGAUAAGAUCGAGACAGAACCGCGUGAAUCCUAGAUAUUGCCUAGCUAGGUGGGUUCGACGCAGUUUUAAGCAUGGCAUGAUGAGUAGCACACGGUAUAUUAUAUGUUGUCUAAUCCCCAUGACAAUACGUGACACACACGUUGUGCAGCAUGCCAGCGAUCACCGCAGAUAAUAAAUUUGAUGAUUUGACACUUUUUUCGUUGAUAGAUUAUAUACGUCGAUAUUUGUGAGUAUGGUAUUUAGGACCAUACGAACCAAUAAUAAUGUGCCAGCAUGUUAAAUAAUUGAACAUCAAUCUUAUAGAAGUGUCAAAAAAAAUCAAAUCUCUCUCCGCCGAUGGCCCCUGCGUCAGCGACGCAUGAUAACCCUACAUUUUCCCGCUACCUCUUACUUGAGUGUAUUAACAAUGGCUCACAGGCGCUAACUAAUUCUUAUAAACCGACACCGAUAAAUAACUAUAGAUAUCGGUUGCAACGAGGAAACACCACCACCACCACCACCUAGGGAUGGGCAUGGGUUGGCCUAUGCAUAAUCAGUGGCCGACUUUAAUUCAAUAAAUAAACUUUUUAUCUUUAACCUCAAAAAUAAAUCAUAGUUCUCCGAAAUGAAACUUAAUUUAUCAAUUUGAGCUAGAGCCGGCCAAAGGCCAUGAAUCACUCACGGGUCAACCUGUGGCCAUCCCUACCACCACUUUAUGGGAUGAGCCCUCCAAGAAUACAUAUAGGUGAUUGUCCACAUAAUAAAUUGGCACCUAUAAUAUUUAUAGGUGCCGGUUCACCUCAACAACCUACACAUAUCACUAUUAUAAGUUUACGCAUCUAUUAAGACUAUAUUGGUGAUUUCUACGGGGUGUCAGUUGAAAAAAAUGACACUUUUCAGUACUAUAAAAAUGAUUUUCAUGGAUGGUCCCACACUAAAUUUCAUAUGGACCGAUAGAUAGUGGUCUGCGAUAUGGUCAGUCACGAGGGGAGCCCUAACCUACGUGUGAAAACUUAUUAUUGUAGGCAUGCCAAUAACAGUAUCGUCUAGAAAGGUAAUGUCACAAUUGCAGGCGCAUCACUAAGAGGCUAGUAUAGAAAAAUUGAUUACCCUAUGAGGACUUUUAAUGGUUGCCCUGCAAUAACGCAUAUAUAAAAAAAUACAUAUUUGCAUAUAAGUUUUUCAUAUGAAGCUGGAUAAAGAUUAAUAUUAUAUGAAAAAAAAUUGUUGGGAUUGACGAUAUCUAAAACUUUGUAGUUGAUAUUUUUUUUUCAUUUGAGAUUUUUUUAUAGGCCUAAGUAUUCCCUAUAUUAUCUCAUACUUGUUGUUUGAAAGCGAGAUGCUAUUAUUUUGACUUCAUAUCCUAAACAUGUAAUGUUUAUAAAUGAUGUUAAAUGAAAAAUAAUCAAUUACAAAGUUAUGGAUCCAAUUGAACAUUAUAAUUUUCAUAUAGAUAACAUAUUCAUUUCAGAUCAUUUGAAACAUAGUUAUGAGAUUUUGUAAAAACAUAUAGGAGCAAUUAUAGUGAAUAUUUCGACCUGUAAAAUAUCUCAAAUGAAAAAAAAAUGUUUUAGAGCUCAUCAAGGCCAACAACUUUCAAAGAAAAUAUGUAUUUAUCUGACUUCAUAUGUAAAAAUUAACUAUAAAAUAUUUAUUAUUACAGACAGGUCAUUAAAAGGCAUGGAUGGGAAAAUCUAUUAUCCCUGGCGGGCUUCUUAGAGCAUCUCCAAUACAGGGCUUAAAAUUAAGUUCUAAAAAUUAUGUAUUGGAGGCCUUCUAAAAAAUAAUGGCCUAAAAAAUUCCCACUACUCCAAUAGAAGCCCAAAAAUAAAGUCCUAAAAAUAGUUAGUUGAUCAAAUCAACCAAAUUAGUUGAGAUAGGAUCGUUCUCUUCCUUUUCUUUAAGUCGCCGCCCGCCAACAUACGACGUCGCCGGCGCUGCGUACGACGCCGCCGCCUGCCGUGUACGUGCCGUGGAUUGCCCGUGGACGGUAUUUUUUUUUCUUUUUCUCCGUGCCACAUUGCUCUCUUCUUUCUCCUCCCCUUCUAUAAUUAAUGGUCCGAUGAUUUUUUUUGUGUAGAAACACAGUUGGGAUUGAUCUGAAAUUUAUGAAAAUUAAUUCUUCGUACUCUCAAAUAUUAUAUAUUUUACGGCAUAUUUGUAGUCUAAUAAUGAAAAGUUUUGCAGCUCAACCAAUCUGCAAUGAGUUAUCCCCGUUCCUUAUUUCAACAGCUAUUAGAUGAAUCCUCAUCUGACGAUGAUGAUGAAUUUUUAUUGGCGACAACACAAAUCUUGUAUUCAUAUGAACACUCUAUUAAUUUACCAAAACAUGGUGGGUUUAUUGCUAGACGAUUGACCGUAGCCGAGAAGCACGACACUUGAGAUUAUACCACGAUUACUUCUCCGAUAAUCCGACUUACGGGCCGAUUUAUUUUAGACGCAGGUUUGUACCAAGUCUAUUUAAUUUAUUUAAUCAUGGUUGCGAAUGAUAAUAUAUUCGUCCCUAUUAUAUUUUGUUUUGUUCAUGCAGGUUUAGAAUGAGUCGUUCUCUUUUUGUACGCAUAAUGAAUACAGUAGAGCAACAUGAUGACUAUUUUGUGCAGAAGAGAAAUGCAGCUGGCGUACUUGGAUUAAGUUGUUUGCAGAAGGUCACUGUAGCGCUUCGUCAAUUGUCUUACGGUGUAGCUGCAGAUGCUGUAGAUGAUUAUUGUGGCCUUGGUGAAAGUACCGCUCUUGAGAGUUUGAGAAGGUUUGUUAAAUCAAUUGUUGCAGUUUUUGAACAUGAGUACUUAAGAUCACCUAAUACAAACGAUACGGCUCGAUUACUUGCACUUGCAGAGAAAAGAGGGUUCCCUGGAAUGUUAGGUUCUAUAGAUUGCAUGCAUUGGAAGGGGAAGAAUUGCCCUUCAGCAUUUCAAGGUAUGUACUCCGGCCACUUGCACGAGCCUACAAUAAUUUUAGAAGCUGUUGCUGCAAAGGAUCUCUGGAUUUGGCAUGCUUUUUUUGUUUACCUGGGUCUCAUAAUGAUAUAAAUGUGUUACAUCGAUCUCCAUUGUUUGCAAAGCUAGCUAAAGGUGAGGCUCCUAAAGUAAACUAUAACAUAAAUGGUCAUAAUUAUACGAUGGGAUACUAUCUUGCAGAUGGCAUAUACCCAUCUUGGGCGACAUUUGCCAAAACCAUACCAGAACCACAGGGUAAUAAGAGAAAAUAUUUUGCAAAAGCACAAGAAGCGGUAAGAAAGGACGUGGAACGAGCCUUUGGGAUUCUACAAGCUCGUUUUGCCAUUGUUCGUGGGUCGGCUCGAUCAUGGGAUGAAGAGACACUGGGAUAUAUUAUGAAAGCGUGUGUCAUCAUGCAUAAUAUGAUAAUAGAAGAUGAGGGAGAAGUGGAUCCUAGAGAACGGUUCGAUGAGGGAGGAGAAAAUGUUAGAUUUUCACAUGAUGAAACACUGGAUCUCGAGGAAUUUAUUAAGACACACAAAAAAAUAAGGGACAAUGAAACGCACCAUCAGCUACGAGAAGACCUAGUAGAGCACUUGUGGCAACAUCAUCCAGAUGAUUAUUCAUGAAUCACAUUGUAUUAUAUAAAUUCAGUGUGACUCUGUUAAAAUUAUUUUUAUUUC